UGAUUAGAUACCCCACUAUGCCUGGCCCUAAAUCUAGAUGCUUAUACUACUAAAGCAUCCGCCUGAGGACUACGAGCACAAACGCUUAAAACUCUAAGGACUUGGCGGUGCCCUAAACCCACCUAGAGGAGCCUGUUCUAGUA
Molecule: ribosomal RNA, 143 nt
Filed under: Zenaida asiatica (white-winged dove)
Lineage: Eukaryota; Metazoa; Chordata; Aves; Columbiformes; Columbidae
Description: partial small subunit ribosomal RNA
Source: RNAcentral